This 264-nucleotide ribosomal RNA is filed under the name uncultured archaeon. RNAcentral describes it as "partial 16S ribosomal RNA". It matches the Rfam family "Archaeal small subunit ribosomal RNA", at positions 717 to 982 of the family's 1478-position model. The record is from RNAcentral.
ACACGACUACAUUAGAUACCCCGGUAGUCCCAGCCCUAAACGAUGCGCGUUAGGUGUAUCGGUGACCACGAGUCACCGAGGUGCCGAAGGGAAACCGUGAAACGUGCCGCCUGGGAAGUACGGUCGCAAGGCUGAAACUUAAAGGAAUUGGCGGGGAGCAUCACAACGGGUGGAGCCUGCGGUUUAAUUGGACUCAACGCCGGGAAGCUUACCGGAUAAGACAGCGGAAUGAUUGCCGGGCUGAAGACUCUGCAUGACCAGCUG